This is a long non-coding RNA of Salvelinus namaycush (lake trout), 265 nucleotides long. RefSeq lists it as uncharacterized. The record is from RefSeq and is a predicted model, not a curated record. The transcript has 3 exons. NCBI's taxonomy places the organism in Eukaryota, Metazoa, Chordata, Actinopteri, Salmoniformes, Salmonidae.
GAAAGACUCAGCAUGCUGUGAAGUCCUCAGGAUUGCUGGACCAACGCGUUUAGAAGGUAUUGUUUUAACACUGUAAAGAAGACCUUCCAACAGCCAUGAUGGAUAAAGAGGAUAUGCAUAAAGAGGAGAUCAGUGACACUGACAGUGGGAUCAUAAUCAACUCUGGUCCCGACAGCCCCACGUCGCCAGUCAAGGACUUGACCACUCACACCCGGGCCAUGAGGCUGAAGCAUCAGGUUCUGGAGGAGAAACUGGAACUGUGUCU